ACUCCUACGGGAGGCAGCAGUGGGGAAUAUUGCACAAUGGGCGCAAGCCUGAUGCUGCCAUGCCGCGUGUGUGAAGAAGGCCUUCGGGUUGUAAAGCACUUUCAGUUGUGAGGAAGGUGGUGUCGUUAAUAGCGGCAUCAUUUGACGUUAGCAACAGAAGAAGCACCGGCUAACUCCGUGCCAGCAGCCGCGGUAAUACGGAGGGUGCGAGCGUUAAUCGGAAUUACUGGGCGUAAAGCGCAUGCAGGUGGUUUGUUAAGUCAGAUGUGAAAGCCCGGGGCUCAACCUCGGAACUGCAUUUGAAACUGGCAGACUAGAGUACUGUAGAGGGGGGUAGAAUUUCAGGUGUAGCGGUGAAAUGCGUAGAGAUCUGAAGGAAUACCGGUGGCGAAGGCGGCCCCCUGGACAGAUACUGACACUCAGAUGCGAAAGCGUGGGGAGCAAACAGGAUUAGAUACCCUGGUAGCACAGAG
Molecule: ribosomal RNA, 473 nt
Filed under: uncultured bacterium
Lineage: Bacteria
Description: bacterial SSU rRNA
Rfam family: Bacterial small subunit ribosomal RNA
Source: RNAcentral